UAAGUAAACCUAAGCCUGAAACGAAAGGGUCUGCCAGCCAGCAGGAUAAUCGACGUCCAGUGAAUACUCAGGCGGAGGUUGGCCAAAAGCCGGCGUCGACGAGCUCUGAUAAAGCGGGUAAAGGGGGCAUGUCGAUGAAGCCCGCUGUGUCGGGCAGCGGCAACAACUCUAACGCAUCAAGACAGACGCACAAAACCGAUGAUGGAAGUACCGGUGGUGGUAAACAGAAAGGACCAACAGGCAAGGCAUUAAGUAACAGGUGAAUGGUGUGCGUGCGGAAGAAGAAUCAUGUGAAUAAAUGUCAGUUUGUCCUCGAGGACUCUAUGGUCGAUGGGACCUCUCUCUACAUAUGCAGUGUGUAGCUUGUGAAAGUGGUUGUAUAGACAAGUAAUAUUUCAUUCGUGCAUGUGUGCUCUUCGUUGAUAUCUGUAUCGCGCUUGUGUUGGUGAAUUUGUACGGUGGAUACUGAAAUGAUACUAUAGUGAAUUUGUUAUAAUAGAUAUUU
Molecule: long non-coding RNA, 505 nt
Organism: Hordeum vulgare subsp. vulgare (domesticated barley)
Lineage: Eukaryota; Viridiplantae; Streptophyta; Magnoliopsida; Poales; Poaceae
Exons: 3
Source: RefSeq, a predicted model, not a curated record